CGGACGGGUGAGUAACGCGUGAGGAACCUGCCUCAAAGAGGGGGACAACAGUUGGAAACGACUGCUAAUACCGCAUAAGCGCACAGCUUCGCAUGAAGCAGUGUGAAAAACUCCGGUGGUACAAGAUGGACCCGCGUCUGAUUAGCUGGUUGGUGAGGUAACGGCCCACCAAGGCGACGAUCAGUAGCCGGCCUGAGAGGGUGACCGGCCACAUUGGAACUGAGAAACGGUCCAG
RNAcentral lists this ribosomal RNA (235 nucleotides) under uncultured bacterium. Its description in RNAcentral is "partial 16S ribosomal RNA". It matches the Rfam family "Bacterial small subunit ribosomal RNA", at positions 99 to 334 of the family's 1533-position model. The record is from RNAcentral.